This 432-nucleotide long non-coding RNA is filed under the name Lathyrus oleraceus (garden pea). Its description in RNAcentral is "Pisum sativum (pea) long non-coding RNA (PSAT_LNC008474)". Lineage: Eukaryota; Viridiplantae; Streptophyta; Magnoliopsida; Fabales; Fabaceae. The record is from RNAcentral.
AGAGAAAAGAAUUAGUGUUAGUUGUUAGUCAAACUCGGCAAGACAUCGCGUCUCGUGCCUACGUAUCUCAUCUGAACAUGAGAAUCAGAGUUGCCGUAGUUCGGCUACGGAGGGACAAAGGUCUCGAUUGCAACUAGGGCAAGAGAAAGGGAAAGUCUCGAUCGCAACGAGGGCGAGAGAAAGGAAAAGGCUCGAUCGCAACGAGGGCGAGAGAAAGGAUCGCAACGAGGGCGAAAGCAAACAAGGAUUAGUCUAAACUAAACCUAACUUGCACAGGAAGCAAGUCAAACAAACACAAGCACAGGUAGCACACACUAUAUGCACACAAAAGGCUCACACAAGGGUUAGGUUUUAGUCGAGGGGUCAUAUCAACCUCAACAAACAAACCUCUGGAAUGGGGUGAGUGUUGCUCUUAACCUUGCCAUUGAGGGG